AAGGGCCUUCAACAAACUGUUGCCACAAAGUUGGAAGCAUAGCAUUGUCCAAAAUGUCUUGGUGUGCUGAAGCAUUAAGGUUUCCCUUCACUGGAAGUCAGUGGUUGAGCCCAAACCCUGACAAACAGGUCCAUAGAGAGGGGGUUGUCUGGAUACUUUUGUCUACAUAGUUUGUGAACUGUGUUCACUGGGCAAAAACUUUGGAGAACUUGAAUCUUUUAUUUCCAGGUUUGUGUAGAAAAUGAUCUUCAUGUUUGUCUCUCCAAAGUCCAACAUUUUACUUUGAGUAGUUUUGUGUAUGUGAAUGAAGGAGAAGUAAACUCGUCUGCCU
Molecule: long non-coding RNA, 331 nt
Organism: Scatophagus argus
Lineage: Eukaryota; Metazoa; Chordata; Actinopteri; Scatophagidae
Exons: 2
Source: RefSeq, a predicted model, not a curated record